CACUGAGAUCAAGCUAGACCGGCAACCAAGCAAUCACCUCCUUAUAGUUCGAGAUAAGGGUACAAUCGACAUAGCCACCUAAGAGCCUCGACCGCAGACAACAUAGGCUCUCACUAACGCCAUAGUCAAGGAAGGACUCCACCCUAGGCAACAUCUCUCCUUGGCAUCGAGAUUCUUACACUACUCAGAAUGCCGAGGUGGAGAGGAGAUUUCAACAGAUGCAGCAGUA
RNAcentral lists this long non-coding RNA (229 nucleotides) under Elaeis guineensis (African oil palm). RNAcentral's name for it is "long non-coding RNA (EGUI_LNC044480)". Lineage: Eukaryota; Viridiplantae; Streptophyta; Magnoliopsida; Arecales; Arecaceae. The record is from RNAcentral.